UACGGAGGGUGCAAGCGUUAUCCGGAAUCACUGGGUUUAAAGGGUGCGUAGGCGGCGGCAUAAGUCAGAAGUGAAAGUUGGCAGCUUAACUGCAAAAUUGCUUUUGAUACUGUGUUGCUUGAAUCAAGUUGAGGUUGGCGGAAUGUGACAUGUAGCGGUGAAAUGCUUAGAUAUGUCAUAGAACACCAAUUGCGAAGGCAGCUGACUAGACUUGUAUUGACGCUGAGGCACGAAAGCGUGGGGAGCGAACAGG
This 253-nucleotide ribosomal RNA is filed under the name uncultured bacterium. RNAcentral's name for it is "partial 16S ribosomal RNA". It matches the Rfam family "Bacterial small subunit ribosomal RNA", at positions 524 to 776 of the family's 1533-position model. The record is from RNAcentral.